AAACCUCACCUGGCCCGGACAUGGAAAGGAUUGACAGAUUGAGAGCUCUUUCUCGAUUCUGUGGGUGGUGGUGCAUGGCCAUUCUUAGUUGGUGGAGUGAUUUGUCUGGUUAAUUCCGAUAACGAACGAGACUCUGGCAUGCUAACAUGCUCAAAUAAAUUUGUUAGUCUCUAAAGUGCCACAAGUACUCCUUUUCUUUUGAAUAUAAGUUAAUUACUCUAAUAAUUGUUUGAGGUGAUUGCCCAUACAUAUCCAUC
Molecule: non-coding RNA, 257 nt
Filed under: Chelonia mydas (Green sea turtle)
Lineage: Eukaryota; Metazoa; Chordata; Testudines; Cheloniidae
Description: Eukaryotic small subunit ribosomal RNA
Rfam family: Eukaryotic small subunit ribosomal RNA
Source: Rfam by way of RNAcentral